UCCCUCUUAGCUCAGUGGUAGAGCGCGUCACUAGUAGACUCAUUACGUAAUACACAUUACGUAAUCACCUCUAUGACGAGGUCAGUCCGUUCAAGUCGGCUAGGGGGAA
Non-coding RNA from Hebeloma cylindrosporum, 109 nucleotides. Lineage: Eukaryota; Fungi; Basidiomycota; Agaricomycetes; Agaricales; Hymenogastraceae. The record is from the annotation of a GenBank genome assembly.